This 1371-nucleotide ribosomal RNA is filed under the name uncultured bacterium. RNAcentral describes it as "bacterial SSU rRNA". It matches the Rfam family "Bacterial small subunit ribosomal RNA", at positions 28 to 1381 of the family's 1533-position model. The record is from RNAcentral.
GAUAAACGCUGGCGGCGUGCCUAAUACAUGCAAGUCGAGCGAACGGACGAGAAGCUUGCUUCUCUGAUGUUAGCGGCGGACGGGUGAGUAACACGUGGAUAACCUACCUAUAAGACUGGGAUAACUUCGGGAAACCGGAGCUAAUACCGGAUAAUAUUUUGAACCGCAUGGUUCAAAAGUGAAAGACGGUCUUGCUGUCACUUAUAGAUGGAUCCGCGCUGCAUUAGCUAGUUGGUAAGGUAACGGCUUACCAAGGCAACGAUGCAUAGCCGACCUGAGAGGGUGAUCGGCCACACUGGAACUGAGACACGGUCCAGACUCCUACGGGAGGCAGCAGUAGGGAAUCUUCCGCAAUGGGCGAAAGCCUGACGGAGCAACGCCGCGUGAGUGAUGAAGGUCUUCGGAUCGUAAAACUCUGUUAUUAGGGAAGAACAUAUGUGUAAGUAACUGUGCACAUCUUGACGGUACCUAAUCAGAAAGCCACGGCUAACUACGUGCCAGCAGCCGCGGUAAUACGUAGGUGGCAAGCGUUAUCCGGAAUUUAUUGGGCGUAAGCGCGCGUAGCGGUUUUUUAAGUCUGAUGUGAAAGCCCACGGCUCAACCGUGGAGGGUCAUUGGAAACUGGAAAACUUGAGUGCAGAAGAGGAAAGUGGAAUUCCAUGUGUAGCGGUGAAAUGCGCAGAGAUAUGGAGGAACACCAGUGGCGAAGGCGACUUUCUGGUCUGUAACUGACGCUGAUGUGCGAAAGCGUGGGGAUCAAACAGGAUUAGAUACCCUGGUAGUCCACGCCGUAAACGAUGAGUGCUAAGUGUUAGGGGGUUUCCGCCCCUUAGUGCUGCAGCUAACGCAUUAAGCACUCCGCCUGGGGAGUACGACCGCAAGGUUGAAACUCAAAGGAAUUGACGGGGACCCGCACAAGCGGUGGAGCAUGUGGUUUAAUUCGAAGCAACGCGAAGAACCUUACCAAAUCUUGACAUCCUUUGACAACUCUAGAGAUAGAGCCUUCCCCUUCGGGGGACAAAGUGACAGGUGGUGCAUGGUUGUCGUCAGCUCGUGUCGUGAGAUGUUGGGUUAAGUCCCGCAACGAGCGCAACCCUUAAGCUUAGUUGCCAUCAUUAAGUUGGGCACUCUAAGUUGACUGCCGGUGACAAACCGGAGGAAGGUGGGGAUGACGUCAAAUCAUCAUGCCCCUUAUGAUUUGGGCUACACACGUGCUACAAUGGACAAUACAAAGGGCAGCGAAACCGCGAGGUCAAGCAAAUCCCAUAAAGUUGUUCUCAGUUCGGAUUGUAGUCUGCAACUCGACUACAUGAAGCUGGAAUCGCUAGUAAUCGUAGAUCAGCAUGCUACGGUGAAUACGUUCCCGGGUCU